AGGAUGAACGCUGGCGGCGUGCCUAACACAUGCAAGUCGAACGUCCUGUCUCGCAAGAGGCAGGGAGUGGCGGACGGGUGAGUACCACGUGGGUCAUCUACCGUGAGGUGAGGAAUACCGGCGAGAAAUCGCCGACAAGACCGCAUAGCCUCGGUGCAAGUCGAGGAAAGCUCUCUCGAGAGAGGGAGCGCCACACGAGGAGCCUGCGCCCGAUUAGCUAGCUGGUGGAGUAAUGGUUCACCAGGGCGACGAUCGGUAGCUGGUCUGAGAGGACGAUCAGCCACACUGGGAUUGAGAACGGCCCAGACUCCUACGGGGGCAGCAGUGAGGAAUUUUCGUCAAUGGGGGCAACCCUGAACGAGCAACGCCGCGUGCAGGAAGAAGGUUUUCGGAUCGUAAACUGCUUUUCUCGGGGAAGAGAACGGACGGUACCCGAGGAAUCAGCCCGGCUAACUACGUGCCAGCAGCCGCGGU
Molecule: ribosomal RNA, 474 nt
Filed under: uncultured bacterium
Lineage: Bacteria
Description: SSU rRNA
Rfam family: Bacterial small subunit ribosomal RNA
Source: RNAcentral